CCCCAAAGUAGUUUAGUUGGUUAGAACACAGUCGCAUGCGCUGGGAUGGUGGUUCGAAUCCACUCUGCGGGGGCCA
This 76-nucleotide transfer RNA is filed under the name Parcubacteria group bacterium ADurb.Bin216. Its description in RNAcentral is "tRNA-Met". It matches the Rfam family "tRNA". Rfam says of the family: Transfer RNA (tRNA) molecules are approximately 80 nucleotides in length. Their secondary structure includes four short double-helical elements and three loops (D, anti-codon, and T loops). The record is from RNAcentral.